Molecule: small RNA, 114 nt
Filed under: Phyllobacterium trifolii
Lineage: Bacteria; Pseudomonadati; Pseudomonadota; Alphaproteobacteria; Hyphomicrobiales; Phyllobacteriaceae
Description: ar15
Rfam family: Alphaproteobacterial ar15
Source: RNAcentral
ACUUGCCGGUGCGUCUCCUCCUCCCAUUGCGCGCCCGCAAGUGUUCCCCUCUGGAGGUAUAGCCGGAAACGGCACCUUCAAAACUUAAGGCCGGGCAAUUGUCCGGCCUCUUUU